GCGGCGUGCCUAACACAUGCAAGUCGAGCGAACAGACUUAGGGAAACCCUUCGGGGUGGAACUGAUGAAGUUAGCGGCGGACGGGUGAGUAACGCGUGGGCAACCUGCCCUGUGCAGGGGGAUAACAUACCGAAAGGUAUGCUAAUACCCCAUAAGGCUAUAACAUCGCAUGAUGAAGUAGUCAAAGAUUUAUCGGCACAGGAUGGGCCCGCGUCUGAUUAGCUAGUUGGUGGGGUAAAGGCCUACCAAGGCGACGAUCAGUAGCCGACCUGAGAGGGUGAUCGGCCACACUGGAACUGAGACACGGUCCAGACUCCUACGGGAGGCGGCAGUGGGGAAUAUUGCACAAUGGGGGAAACCCUGAUGCAGCAACGCCGCGUGAGCGAAGAAGGCUUUCGAGUCGUAAAGCUCUGUCCUAAGGGAAGAAUAAUGACGGUACCUUAGGAGGAAGCCCCGGCUAACUACGUGCCACAGCCGCGGUAAUACGUAGGGGGGCAAGCG
Molecule: ribosomal RNA, 501 nt
Filed under: uncultured bacterium
Lineage: Bacteria
Description: bacterial SSU rRNA
Rfam family: Bacterial small subunit ribosomal RNA
Source: RNAcentral